GAUGAAGAACGCAGCAAAAUGCGAUAAGUAAUGUGAAUUGCAGAAUUCAGUGAAUCAUCGAAUCUUUGAACGCACAUUGCGCCCGCUGGUAUUCCGGCGGGCAUGCCUGUUCGAGCGUCAUUUCAACCCUCAAGCCCCCGGGUUUGGUGUUGGGGAUCGGCUCUGCCCUUCUGGGCGGUGCCGCCCCCGAAAUACAUUGGCGGUCUCGCUGCAGCCUCCAUUGCGUAGUAGAUAACACCUCGCAACUGGAACGCGGCGCGGCCAUGCCGUAAAACCCCAACUUCUGAAUGUUGACCUCGGAUCAGGUAGGAAUACCCGCUGAACUUAAGCAUAUCAAUAAGCGGAGGA
This 348-nucleotide unclassified non-coding RNA is filed under the name soil metagenome. RNAcentral's name for it is "partial contains 5.8S ribosomal RNA, internal transcribed spacer 2, and large subunit ribosomal RNA". The stretch from base 1 to 120 matches the Rfam family "5.8S ribosomal RNA", at positions 35 to 154 of the family's 154-position model. The record is from RNAcentral.